GCAAGUCGAACGAGACUUUUCGUUGUAGCAAUACGAUGGAAAGUUUAGUGGCGAACGGGUGCUUAACACGUGGGCAACCUGCCAGGAAGUGGGGGAUAGCUCGCCGAAAGGCGAAUUAAUACCGCAUGUGAUUAGAGAGGACAUCCUUUCGAAAUUAAAGUCGGGGCAACCUGACGCUUCUUGUGGGGCCCGCGGCCUAUCAGCUAGUUGGUGAGGUAACGGCCCACCAAGGCUUUGACGGGUAGCUGGUCUGAGAGGACGACCAGCCACACUGGGACUGAGACACGGCCCAGACACCUACGGGUGGCAGCAGUCGAGAAUUUUUGACAAUGGGGGAAACCCUGAUCGAGCGACGCCGCGUGGAGGAUGAAGGUCUUCGGAUUGUAAACUCCUGUCAUUGGGGAACAAUGCACAGAUAUUAACUGUAUUUGUGUUGAUAGUACCCGAAGAGGAAGGGACGGCUAACUCUGUGCCAGCAGCCGCGGUAAUACAGAGGUCUCAAGCGUUGUUCGGAUUCAUUGGGCGUAAAGGGUGCGUAGGCGGCGCGGUAAGUCGGGUGUGAAAUCUCGGGGCUUAACUCCGAAACUGCAUUCGAUACUGCCGUGCUUGAGGACUGGAGAGGAGACUGGAAUUUACGGUGUAGCGGUGAAAUGCGUAGAUAUCGUAAGGAAGACCAGUGGCGAAGGCGGGUCUCUGGACAGUUCCUGACGCUGAGGCACGAAGGUCAGGGGAGCAAACGGGAUUAGAUACCCCGGUAGUCCUGACAGUAAACGGUGCACGUUUGGUGUGGGAAGGAUUCGAC
RNAcentral lists this ribosomal RNA (802 nucleotides) under uncultured Verrucomicrobiota bacterium. Its description in RNAcentral is "bacterial SSU rRNA". It matches the Rfam family "Bacterial small subunit ribosomal RNA", at positions 57 to 836 of the family's 1533-position model. Lineage: Bacteria; Pseudomonadati; Verrucomicrobiota. The record is from RNAcentral.